Molecule: ribosomal RNA, 659 nt
Filed under: uncultured bacterium
Lineage: Bacteria
Description: bacterial SSU rRNA
Rfam family: Bacterial small subunit ribosomal RNA (bases 1-483)
Source: RNAcentral
CCUACGGGAGGCAGCAGUAAGGAAUAUUGGUCAAUGGAGGCAACUCUGAACCAGCCAUGCCGCGUGCAGGAAGACUGCCCUAUGGGUUGUAAACUGCUUUUAUCCGGGAAUAAACCUGCUUACGUGUAAGUAGCUGAAUGUACCGGAAGAAUAAGGAUCGGCUAACUCCGUGCCAGCAGCCGCGGUAAUACGGAGGAUCCAAGCGUUAUCCGGAUUUAUUGGGUUUAAAGGGUGCGUAGGCGGCCUGUUAAGUCAGGGGUGAAAGACGGUAGCUCAACUAUCGCAGUGCCCUUGAUACUGAUGGGCUUGAAUGGACUAGAGGUAGGCGGAAUGAGACAAGUAGCGGUGAAAUGCAUAGAUAUGUCUCAGAACACCGAUUGCGAAGGCAGCUUACUAUGGUCUUAUUGACGCUGAGGCACGAAAGCGUGGGGAUCAAACAGGAUUAGAUACCCUGGUAGUCCACGCCCUAAACGAUGACACACNCUCUGUGAGUANACAGUGACNGGCGACGUACGAACGAACGUACGUUAGUUCGUACCUCGGUAGGGUACGACCCGCCCGACGGAGGGAACGUUAAAACGUUAAGUAAGUUAGUUACGGACCGUUGGUAGACGUACGUUACGGACGGACGGACCGACCGACGGGGAGGGGAGGGUAGG